CAGCGAACAGCAGAACAGCUAACAAAAGGAGUUUGCCUGGGAUCUGCCUGAGAGGAGGUACGCUAAGGGCUGCAUUAAGGAGGCUGUGUUGGACAGAUGCGACUUUGUCUGUACAAAGUGCAAGCUGGUCUCCAUACUGGAAGAGAAGGUUCAAGGUCUGGAGCAACAGGUAUCGACCCUGCGUUGCAUAAGAGAAACUGAAGAUUUUCUGGACGGAUGUCAGGAUAGGCUUCUAUGGGCACAAAGUUCUGAAGAUUCAGAGCAGGCUGCACACUGGGGACAGAAGGAUGGUGAAGAAGUUUGGCAUCAUGUGACCUCCAGAAGGAAAAAGGGGAACGUCCAUGUACCAGCAGGGCAGAUACAGGACUGUUGUCAUAUAUGCUAACAACUGACUGGACUGCAAAUGGAUUCCUUGAGUAGGACAGGGGAUUUUGGAAUUCUUGCCGUCAGACACUUGAAAAAGGACCUGAUUUUCAGAGGAAAGAUGCUCAAUGGAGACCCUACAACUGGAGAGCGUCACUCUCUGCUGCUCCUACUGCUAGAUGGUUAGACAACAAGGCCAUGCAACAGAGGCAGGUUUGUCCUGAUGGCCUGGCUCUGUGAUCCCAGGCUUAGUCGUGGCUGAUGAGUGAGUUGAAAUACACAGGAGGGUCGGAAUGACCUUACUUUGCCACUGGUGCUGCAGGAUAGGGCUAAAGAAGCUGAAAGUUACCAUUGAAGAUGUACCAUCUUGAAACCCUUGCUUCCUUUUUAUGCUCUGCAGCCAGCAAGAAACCGGCAGGUGGCUAUGUAUUUUGGAGAGAGGGAAAUAAAAGAAAGCUACUGAA
Long non-coding RNA from Caretta caretta (loggerhead turtle), 827 nucleotides. RefSeq lists it as uncharacterized. Lineage: Eukaryota; Metazoa; Chordata; Testudines; Cheloniidae. The record is from RefSeq and is a predicted model, not a curated record.